UAGUACGGCGAGUGAAGAGGGAAGAGCCCAAGAUUGAAAGCUGGCGCCUUCGGCGUCCGCAUUGUAAUCUCAAGAAGUGUUUUCCGCUUCGGACCAUGCCUAAGUCCCUUGGAAAAGGGCAUCAUAGAGGGUGAUAAUCCCGUACAUGGCAUGGAGCGCCCGAAGCUUUGUGAUACGCUUUCUAAGAGUCGAGUUGUUUGGGAAUGCAGCUCAAAAUGGGUGGUAAAUGCCAUCUAAGGCUAAAUAUUGGGGAGAGACCGAUAGCGAACAAGUACAGUGAUGGAAAGAUGAAAAGAACUUUGAAAAGAGAGUUAAACAGUACGUGAAAUUGCCAAAAGGGAAGGGUAGGAGGUCAGAGAUGCGUCGCAGGAUUCAGCCUUGCUUUUGCUUGGUGUUUUUCCUGCGUUGCAGGCCAACGUCGGUUUUGGGCACUGGAGAAGGGUAGGAGGAACGUGGCACCUCUCGGGGUGUGUUAUAGCCUCCUACUGGAUACAGCGACCGAGACCGAGGAACGCAGCGUACUCGUAAGAGCGGGCCUUUUGGCACCUUUACGCUUAGGGCGUUGGCAUAAUGGCCCUCUACCACCCGUCUU
This 592-nucleotide ribosomal RNA is filed under the name uncultured Pseudozyma. Its description in RNAcentral is "eukaryotic LSU rRNA". It matches the Rfam family "Eukaryotic large subunit ribosomal RNA", at positions 81 to 655 of the family's 3401-position model. The record is from RNAcentral. Lineage: Eukaryota; Fungi; Basidiomycota; Ustilaginomycetes; Ustilaginales; Ustilaginaceae.